Non-coding RNA from Doryrhamphus excisus (bluestripe pipefish), 5120 nucleotides. NCBI's taxonomy places the organism in Eukaryota, Metazoa, Chordata, Actinopteri, Syngnathiformes, Syngnathidae. The record is from RefSeq and is a predicted model, not a curated record.
CAACAAGAAGAAGCCGAUUGGGCGAAGGAGGGAGUGAGACAGGAAUCCAUUCCUUGAGUCCUUUCCCGAACCGAACAAGCUUCUUUUAGCCAUUCUUAAGACCAAGGAUGUUUGUUUAACCACCUUGUCAAAUAUAAACAUUUUAUCGUGAUGGGCAGAUUGGCGAACACUUUGAAAUCAAGGCUCUGUUGAGUGUCCGAGCCGAACCAGUGACCACCGAGCAGCUGUCACCCCGGAAGGCCGCCGUUGCUGCUUGCCGCUUGCCUCACCUGGUGGGGAUUUAACUUUCUCUCUUUUCUGAACGCAUGGAGAGAACUAGCACGUAGCGGACCCGGUUCCAGCCUCUGGUAAAACUUACUGUCAUCCGGUAAGAAUGGAUUCCUCCUUGGGGAUCGGCAACGAGGAGUGCUUGGCAACUGUAAGAGGUCUGGAGCUGAGGGCGGACCAGAAGGAGCCCAGACUGCUGUCACUAAUUGAACGCGGUGGCGAGUUUAUUCUGGGUGUGCUUGCCACCCCUGAUGCUGUCGUAGCUCGUCCGGUGGCCCAGCUGUCCAUACCCAUCAAUGGUAAAUUUGAGAUUGUGAAAGAGGCAGAGGAGGCACUUCUGAUUGACUUCUCUCUAGCUUCUGGGCUCAGGAUACGAAUAAAAGGAGAUAAAGCUCCAGAGCUCCUGUUGGAACUCCAGGAUGAUGAGCGCACUCAGACUUUCCUCACACAGGUGAUAAGCGCUCAACAACAAGUUAAAUUGAAUUCCUCCAAGCCCAAAGUGAUGGAUCCUGUUACACAACCACCCCAGAGAGGACACAAUGCUGCCAACUGUGUGGACUCUGGAGCCAACCUGCCCGGUACGACCAGUGCACUGCCCCCUACCCUCAAUAGAAGCACAUCCACACAUCGAACUGAUGCAGCUCAGUCACUUGCCUCAGACUUUGGCUUUGAGGACAACUUCAAUCACACCUUGAAGGUGGAGGAGAAGAAGAACCACCAGAACAGGAUAGUGGCCUCAAGGGAUCCUCCACCUGUCCCUCCUCUUCCUCCCCGCAAAGCCUCCUUCACACCGUCUUAUCAGCUGCCUGCUACCCCCCUCCCUAAAGAAAGAGUUGUCUCCUCUCAAGCCAAAGACAACUCAUCCAGUGGCGUCAGCAGACCAGAUAGUUUUCAAUCGAGCUUUGAGCGAGACAGGCCACCGUCUUGGUGCGACAGUCCCACCACAAACACGAUGAGGCAAGCCAUGUUCUCCAGCCAAGCGGGACAGAGAGAAUACCUCAUCAAACACCGCCUGGGAAAGAAGGAAAACGAAUACGUGGACAUCCAGAACUUCAGGUUCUUCACUGGUACGUGGAAUGUGAAUGGGCAGUCUCCAGACAGCAGCCUUGAGUCGUGGCUGUCUUGUGACGCAGAACCCCCAGAUAUGUAUGCCGUGGGUUUCCAAGAGUUGGACCUGAGCACUGAAGCUUUCUUCUACAUGGACUCCUCCAAGGAGCAACUGUGGGUGGAGGCCGUUGAGAGAGGCCUACACCCUAAAGCACAAUAUAAGAGGGUUCGCAUCAUAAGACUGGUUGGCAUGAUGCUGGUGGUCUUUGUCAAUAAGAUACACAAGAAUAAUGUGAAAGAAGUGGCAGCAGAACACGUCGGCACAGGAAUCAUGGGCAAAAUGGGGAACAAAGGAGGGGUGGCUGUGAGGUUUGUGUUUCACAACACUAGCUUCUGUAUUGUCAACUCGCACCUUGCGGCACAUGUUGAAGACUUUGAGCGACGCAACCAGGACUACAAAGACAUUUGUGCCCGCAUGACCUUCCACCUACUGGACCACCCCCCUCUGAGUAUUCACAAGCAUGAUGUGGUAAUCUGGUUUGGAGAUUUGAACUAUCGCCUCUUCAUGUAUGACGCUGCUGAGGUCAAACACCUCAUUUCCCAGAAUGAGCUGAAAAAGCUUCAGGAAUUUGAUCAGCUGAACAUUCAGAGGCAGACCAAAAGAGCCUUCACUGACUUCAUGGAAGGAGAUAUCAACUUCAUCCCUACGUACAAGUACGAUACCAGAACGGAUCGUUGGGACUCAAGCGGGAAAUGUCGCGUUCCAGCGUGGUGUGACAGGAUCCUGUGGCGGGGCAACAAUGUCAAGCAGCUGAAGUACCGCAGUCACAUGGAGCUGCAAACCAGUGACCACAAACCAGUCAGCUCCAUCUUCAAGAUAGGGGUUAAGGUGGUCAAUGAGCAGCGCCACAAAAGGGUCUUUGAGGAGAUUGUUCGUGCCAUGGACAGAAUGGAGAACGAUUUUCUUCCAUCAGUAUCUCUCAGCAGGAGAGAGUUCACGUUUGAGAACGUGAAGUUCCGGCAGCUCGUGAGAGAGCGUUUACUCAUAAAGAAUGACGGGCAGGUCCCCUGUCACUUUGCUUUCAUCCCCAAACUCAACGACUCACAGUACUGCAAGUCAUGGCUCCGUGCCGAGCCUAGCGAGGGAUUCUUGGAACCAAAUGAGACCCUGGAGAUCUAUCUGGAGGUCUACGUCAGUAAAGACUCAGUCACGCUGCUCAACUCCGGCGAGGACUCCAUUGAAGACAUCCUGGUGCUCCACCUGGACCGCGGCAAGGACUACUUCAUCACCAUUUCCGGCAACUACAUGCCCAGCUGCUUUGGCACCUCGCUGGAGACCCUGUGUCGGAUGAAGAAACCCAUUAGAGAGAUCCCUAUCACCAAACUCAUUGACUUGGGCGAGGACAGCUUCACAGAGAAGGAACGGUCAAAGAUGAACUUCCUCAUGGGAGAUGGUACAAGCACAGAGGACAAACCUCUGAAAAUCCCCAAGGAGGUGUGGAUCCUAGUCAACCAUCUUUUCACCAAGGCUUGUGAUCAGGAGGACCUGUUCCAAACGCCAGGAUUAAAGGAGGAGCUCCAGGCCAUCAUUGACAGUCUGGACACCAGCAUCCCAGACACCAUCCCUGGCUGCAACCACUCUGUGGCAGAGGCUCUACUGAUCUUCUUAGAGGCCUUGCCAGAGCCGGUCGUGUGCUACGAGCUCUACCAACGCUGCCUGGACUGUGCCCAUGACAGCCGCCUAUGCAAACAGUUGAUCUCCCAGCUGCCCCGAGCACACCGUAACGUGUUCCGCUACUUGAUGGCUUUCCUGAAGGAGCUGCUCAAGCACGCGCACAACAACAACCUAACAGCCGGCCUCAUUGCCACCCUCUUUGCCAGCCUUCUUAUCCGACCUCCUCCCAGCAUGGCGAGCCGGCAGACAGCCCAUGACCGGCAGAAAGCCAUCGACUUUGUUCUGGGUUUCCUGAUGGCGGGAGAUGAAGAGUAACUCAACGUGGCAUGCAUCCCUCUUGGUUUGUUACAGUGUCUCCAUAGGAGCCAAAGAAGACAUUUUUCAUCCGUUGGAAACUGUUCACAUACUCUCAUGUUCAAGAUCCCCAAGGUCCUUGUUGGCCUGCAUUUGACCUUUAAUGCUUUUACCAAGCGUUCAUACACAAACCAAUUUGGCCACUUGGCUGGAUUUCCAAGCACUUUGGAGCGCUGUAAGGCGGUAAGGACCUGCGCCUCCAGACCAGAUUUGUCGUCCUUCCUCUCCAACCCAGAAUGAACUCAAUCUGCACCAAAGAGAGCGGCGCAGAUGUGCAAACACUAUGUGUCAUUGGGUUAUUUUUCUAGUUGACCUCUCAUAGAAGUCUUUACUUUUGAUCAAUUGUCUGGUUUAGUUGAAGGGGUUCAGACACCUGCCAGAUCUACCUACCUUAUGAAUGCAUUUCCAUUUCAACAUGACUGUUUGCACCAGAUGACAUAGAGCAGUGUUUCCCAGCCUUUAUGGAGCCAAAGCACACAUUUUACACUAGAAAAGUCUCAUUGCACACCAAGCAAAGAUCUUGCGUGAAUGGCAGCAGUUGGAUACGCAGGUUAAUUAUGUUCUGCCACCUAGUGGAAAAGCAAUGAAUUGCUUUGCUGGUCACCACACGUCACUGGCAUAGAUAUUGUAAAUAAACAAAUGUUAUGUCUAGUAAAUAGUUAUUUUUUGACCAAUUCAUUGAAAUUGGAAUGGAAUAUGAUGGUGUGCUGCAGCACAUUGGUUGAGAAUCACUGACGCAGACAACAUUUGCUCUUGAAUGUUGCCUGUGUUUUGUUUUUUGGGUUUUUUUUGGGAGCCUCACAUCAAGUUUGUCCUGUUCCUCCGGGCUUAUGACACAUGUCUUUUAAUUGAUACACUGACUUCCUGCUUCAACAGUACAACCUGCUGUCCUCAAGGCUGUAGAUAGUGAAUGUUGAUCUUUGGCGUGGUCCUUUGCUGUCACCAAUGGUACUAUCUCUAUUGGGGGUCUUUUGUUCAGACACCUCAUCUAAACACUCCUAUGAGUUAUAGUUUUGCCUUCCUGCCAGUCUGACACAGUUUCUGUGAGAAUGAUGCAACAUAUUUGGGAUCAGGUUUUGCAAGGUUACUUUGGGGGUUGCAGGAUGUGUUUACUUUUGUGCUAUAUUUCAUAUGCCAAUCAGAGUUGCAUGAAUGGAAAAAAACACGUCCUUUCAUGAUUGGUCUGCUUGUAAGUCCUCAGUCACGCUGAUACAGUUUUUGCCUUGUGAUGCUCACUGUACCUUCAUCUUAAAUGUGAGCACAUGAUGCAACUGCUGACAAUCACGCACGCAGGCCUUAUGGUGCUCUGUUUUUUGUUUUCAUUCACGUUCAGCUUAAUGCAACUCACAGCCUGUUCCACUCCUCAUUUUCUGCUCUUAUAAAUUCCACAAUCUCGCCUGAAAUCCAAACCUCAGUGCUGUCCCAAGCCAGUGAAUCAACUGUAUUUAUGUGAAUUCUAGUGCAGACACACAAGUGGUCACCAUGUGCUCCUUAAUGAAGGAUCCUAACCGCCACCAUGGCCCCACCUUAACACUUGUGUUGCCCUACUGGCAGUUGGAGGAGGACGAGUGGACUCCACAUGCAGUAAUGUACACCUCCAUGAGGUCAGUGCCCAACCAAACCUCACAAGCACUCGAGUAAUGAAGUUUUCAAAUGACAUUAAAUUAGUGGCAAAAUCCGUCUACAUAAAAACCAUCAUCGUCACGUAUAAAGACCACUCUCCUUGCGCUUGUGGUUUCAGAAUAACAGCUUGUUGCUGUCCCCAUGUGUCUCAAUA